GGCAGUAUUUCAUGUAUAUGAAGUCAAACAGUGUGCCACUUUGUGGAGAAAACCAUAACCAUACCAAGCACAGAAUGCAUCUCGUCCGGGUGGAGGCCAGCAACUUGAAAGGUGCACAAUGGGUGGCUCCCAGGGAAAGGAGCCUGCAGUGUCUGGCACCGAACAUGCUUGGCAUCGAAUGCUUCUUAAGCAGAUGAAGACAAUAGAAUAUUCUUUUUUUUUUUUUUUAUUCUUUAGUUACUGAAUCGGUGUGUCUAGGCAUACUCUUCGGGAAGGCAGGGAACUGAGCCUGGGGGUUCAGCAAGACUGAACACUUGGAUUAGAGAAAUGGCCUACCACACAUGGUAACUCUUGGUCCAAUCUUCUCUUGCCCACUUUGGGUCUUUAGCCUACAUAGGCUGGCUACCCUAGUCAUCUCUAUGGCUGAAUUCAGAGAUUAGAAAAGAAGAUAAUGCAA
This 457-nucleotide long non-coding RNA is filed under the name Mus spicilegus (steppe mouse). RNAcentral's name for it is "lncRNA (ENSMSIG00000011098.1)". The record is from RNAcentral. Lineage: Eukaryota; Metazoa; Chordata; Mammalia; Rodentia; Muridae.